GUGAUGACCUAGCGCCGCCGCACUGAGACGUGAGGACGGCCAUCCUAUCUGA
RNAcentral lists this small nucleolar RNA (52 nucleotides) under Pyrobaculum calidifontis JCM 11548. RNAcentral describes it as "PCAsR39". Lineage: Archaea; Thermoproteati; Thermoproteota; Thermoprotei; Thermoproteales; Thermoproteaceae. The record is from RNAcentral.